GAAAGUAUGAGAAUGGAUAGAAGAAACAAUGUGAGAGGACGAGGACGAGGACGUAUGCAAGGUGGGUGACGAUGAGGAGGAGGGCAAGAAAGAGGAAGAGGAGGAAGAAGAGGAAGACAAAGAGUGGAAAUAUCUGAUGAAAUUUGAGCAACAGUUAUAGACCAUGUUCUUGUCCAUGGACUGACAAUGAGGGAACUUAGAGUGCAGGACUUAGAGUGCAACCCAAUUUGAGCUGAUUAUCCAUGUCCACCAUAGUAAGGACAUUCAGAGAAGAGAACAGAAUUGCAAGGCUGCCACAUGCAGAUGGAAGGACAGCUAUAUUCACUCGGGAGCAAGAGGCCGUUAUAGUUGGCAUGGUCCUUCAAGAUAAUGCAAUACGACUCAGAGAAAUCCAGGAACGAGUGAUACAAGACAACUCAGUAUGUCCAAACAAUAUUUGACAUGGAAUCCUUGGACAGACCCCAUGAGUUCAUCUUUGUCGAUGAAGCAGGCUUCAAUCUAACAAAGAGGAGAAGGAGAGGCCGAAACAUGAUUGGACAGCGGGCCAUUGUUGAAGUCCCUGGUCAACGAGGUGGCAAUGUCACAAUCUGUGCUGCUAUCAGCAACCAUGGUGUUCUACAUCACCAUGUUACACUCGGGCCAUAUAACACCCAGCACCUUCUAAGAUUUAUUGCCAAUCUAAGAUCUAUUUUAUUUGAGCAGCAGGUUCAAUAGCAGCAGGGUCAAGAGCUAAAUGAGAAUCCCAUUCCCACCUAUGUGAUAGUGUGGGACAAUGUCAGUUUCCACCGAGCUGCUCAGGUAAGGGAAUGGUUUAACAUCAAUGGGCAGUUUAUGAACUUGUACCUCCCUCCAUACACUCCUUUCCUGAAUCCGAUUGAGUAGUUUUUCUCCUCUUAGAGAUGGAAAGUGUAUGAUCGACAACCCUACAGCAGAGUAAAUCUGCUGCAAGCCACGGAUUUAGCCUGUGGUGAUAUACAGUGGGGCAAAAAAGUAUUUGGUCAGCCACCAAUUGUGCAAGUUCUCCCACUUAAGAAGAUGAGAGGCCUGUAAUUUUCAUCAUCGGUACACUUAAACUAUGACAG
Molecule: long non-coding RNA, 1082 nt
Organism: Oncorhynchus gorbuscha (pink salmon)
Lineage: Eukaryota; Metazoa; Chordata; Actinopteri; Salmoniformes; Salmonidae
Exons: 3
Source: RefSeq, a predicted model, not a curated record